AUGCUAGAGCCAAGAUGUCAUAUCGUGUUGGGUUGGGGGUUUCAGACAAAGUGUGAGCAGAAAGGAGUAGCACAAACAGAUAUGAUUUUCGAUCCGUCAUCGCCCGAAAAGAAGAUUAUUGAUUGUUCAACUUCAACCACGCUGUUAUGCGAGACGCCCUCUGGCUUCGCAAUUGUCUCUUGUGAUGAGCUCGACCCCAAAAUUCCAGUGGAGGACAUCUGGGCAUACCCACCACAGAAUGUCAGGCUGGUGAGCUUCAAAAAGUUUGAAGAGAAGUCUAGCGCCAUUGACCUUGCUAAGGAAAUUAUUUAUAACGAACUGUCUGAGAUGCUCACCGAGUUUUGUGGCCCUGAGCAGAAACUACUUGUUGGACGUGCUGAAUAUAAAAGAAUAAUUGAAAGGAAGCUGGGAAUAACCCGUCAGUAUGAUAAUAUUGUGGAGGAGGUGAUUUGGGUUCUAGAGAAUAUCAUGCAUACUUUAUUGCCUGAGGAAACAUCAGAGCCGAAGGAGUACCGCCGCUUCAAUGGCAAAGGAUUAAUCCUUUUCUUACGUCAAUAUGGCUUUCUUGUCAAAAACGACUGGGUUACUGAAAGCAUUGUUGAGACGGCUCGUCGCUUGUAUCAUUUUGAGUUAGAUGAACGUCAGUACUUGGAUUCAUUGUGCAGUAAAAUACAGAAAUCGGUUGACCUAUCGUCUCUCACCAAGGAUUGGAGUUCACUCAAAUUUGCAACAGCUCUGAAGUUUCUUGUUUACCCUAGACAAUCGUAUGAAGUUUGGAAACCUAGUAAGAUUUUGUCAGCUUCUGAGUUUGUGAGCAUAAAGUCCAUGAGACAACAAUACAGAGAAACGAUUAUGUCCGAGAUCAAUGUCUUGUCAGUCUACAAAGAUGUUAGUGCUCUCUACUAUGAAAAAAGGCUUGAGAUUCUGGCGGAUAUAAACCUCUUGCUGCCGUUGAGGCCAAAGGUGAUCAAAUUAUGGAAUUCUCGUUUUUUGAGAAAACUCGGUUCGACUGAUUCGCCUGCUGGCUCCAAAGUUGGAAAAGAAGCUAUUAUUGGUGUUGAUACUGAUGCAAAGCAAACGAGUGCAGCAGAAAACAUUGGUGAAACUGAGAAAAAGAAUGGCACUGAAGAAUCUGGUGCAAAGGCAGUGAAAGCAGCGGAAAACUUGGAAAAUUUUGAGCCGCCUCAGACUGCUGAUGCUAGCAACGAAAUGACUGCACGGCCUACUCGAGAAACUAGUGGAGAUGGGAUGAAGGCUGUAGACAUUGCGGGUGAAAGCAGGCAGAACGGACAGGUAUUUCCCCUUGGAGGCCACAAGAGCAAAGAACUGGAUUUCCCUGAGACGGAACCAGAUGUUACCUGUGAUGAGCAGGCUGGAGAUACUGAUGCGAAGCAAACGAGUGCAGCACAAAUCAUGGGCGUGAGACUGAGAAAAAGAAUGGCAUUGAAGAAUCUGAUGCAAAGGCAGUGA
RNAcentral lists this ribosomal RNA (1470 nucleotides) under Triticum aestivum (bread wheat). Its description in RNAcentral is "partial small subunit ribosomal RNA". The record is from RNAcentral. Lineage: Eukaryota; Viridiplantae; Streptophyta; Magnoliopsida; Poales; Poaceae.